UGACUUGGGAACAUGGGAAGAGGCAAAAGGCAAGGGAAAGUUUGCUUCUCCUUCUCCAGUAGUUCCUGAGUGCU
MicroRNA precursor from Gallus gallus (chicken), 74 nucleotides. Lineage: Eukaryota; Metazoa; Chordata; Aves; Galliformes; Phasianidae. The record is from Ensembl.